This is a long non-coding RNA of Tyto alba (common barn owl), 2243 nucleotides long. RefSeq lists it as uncharacterized. The transcript has 4 exons. The record is from RefSeq and is a predicted model, not a curated record. Lineage: Eukaryota; Metazoa; Chordata; Aves; Strigiformes; Tytonidae.
CAGCGCCCUGUGACUGGCCAAACAGACAAGGCCCGCGCUACGAGCGCGCCCGUCAGCUGCCAUCGCCCGGUGACGCUGCGCCGGACAGCCCGACGCUACGGCCCUUUAAGCUUCCCAUUGGUUCUCCCGGCAGCAGCUUGACGUUGGCAGCCCACUCGCAGCGCCCCCUGGGAGCUCUCGCGCCCAGUGACGUCAUCCGUCUCCCUCCUCCCCAGCUCAGAGGCUAUUGCGCAUGCGCCGGACCGGCGCCGCUGCUCUGGCCACCUCGCGCGCGUUGGGCGGCGCGAGCGGCCGCUGGCUGUGAGGGAGCGGGAGCGGUCGCCGUUACUUCGAGGAUCGGUAUCGGGCGCUGCGCCGGCAGCCGCGCUGAGCGGCGAGGGCGCUGGCGGGUGCGAGGCUGGCACCCUGGACGCUGUCCUGUGGCGUGGGGCUUCUGCCCUUCCCCCGCUACCUGAGGUGCUGACCUGAAAAUGAACUGAGAUGAAAAAUGGAACUUCAUUACUGUUGUGUGUGAGAGAGCUUAAAAUAUUCUUUAAAGCUGUGGAAGCAGACAUCAUGAACAGAAAGGUCAUGAAAGCAAGCUGUAAUACAAGCAGACCAGACCAGUACGAUGUACUACUGACAGGAUGACAAACAAAACAGCAAGAGGUGAACAAAUAAACAGGAGUCAGUGCCACAGAAGAACUCAAUCUGGGACUUAAACUGGGGUGCAGAACACCAAGGUGCAGUUUCCCAGCUCUGCUACAGCCAUCAUACAACACCCUGCGCAAAUCGCCCUGCCUCCAUUCCUGUCUCCAACAAUGGGAAAAUAAUUGUUUCACCAUUCUUUAUUAGUUCAUUAAUUCAGUGGGGCAGCAAAUAUGUCAUAUAGGUUAAUUUUCACAUGCUUAAAGGAGUAGGAUCCUAAUUUUGUAGGACAGAUACCUACAGACCCUAGUACUUGUAUACUCAUCAUCAUUACUACAGAUCUUCAUAACAGCUAAAUGCGGAGUAUAUAUAAAUUUGACCAAGGUAUGUGGUGAGUGCUUUUUCAUUUCUCAGUAAAAAUAACUGCUUUUACUAAAUAAAAAGUGUCAAUGGAACCAACUUCUACUGCUACAAAAAUACAGCUUUGCAGCUGUUUAGUCAGCAGUAAAAUAUACUGUUACACUGCUUUCAAAAUCACUACCUUCACCUGCUCACAGGGAGGUACAUAACUUGCACUUAUAUUAACCAUAUUUUAGACCAUUCUAGCACUUUCCAUCACUAUUUUAACAUUUAUAAUUAAUUCACUAUAAUAAUAAAUACACUCUAUCAACUUCUUGCAUGUACAGAAUCACAGAUGCUGAGAAACCAGGCUUUUACAACUAACUUAGCAAGUUUGCCCAUAAUACUGUUGUGCUGUGAGAACGUUCCUCUGUCCAACUGUGUCUCAAAUAUAUUAAUCUAUUCCUCUGAUUUUAAAACAACUUAGAGCAACCAUUGAGCACAUGCAGCCUUGUUUGAAAAAGUAUAUUUGAAAAGCAAAUGCUUCUCCUUCCUCCUGCACAGCUCCAGUUGACAAAAAAUUAAUCAGCAAGAAGAAAAAUGCCAUUUGUCACAUACAACUUACACCAGUUACCAAAUGCUUCAAGUAAAAGAAAAGGAACACUACAAAAAGCAAAUAUGAUAGGUCUGCACUGCUACAUAAGUUUUUAUUUAAAAAUAUAAAGGGAACUUUAAAUCUCAUUUAAAAAAUAAUCACUGUAUCAUUGUAAUCCUUAUUAACUUCCCAUCUGUUAGUAGUAUAUUUUCUAAACCAUAUGCUAUGGCAAUUAACUGGACAACCUACCUCCCCCUCAGUAAAAGUAUUUCCUAUCAGAUUUCUCUCUCUCUGCUCCAAACUCAGUAGAUGUUCUCCUUUGACCUUUUACUACAAGUUGCAGGAAACAGAACUCCUGACUUGCAUUCCUUACUUCAUCACUUCAUAGAGUUUUUGUCACUUUGCAUCUUUGUCUACUGACAGAAGCAGCUGUAGUCUGAACAUUUAAGUCUCACUUGUUUUUUCAAUGGUUUUAAGAUUACUUUCCUUCCUUCAUAGAAAAACAUCCACUGCACUAAUCCGAAUUCAAGUGCACUAACACAUUGCAUCAGUCUCCUGAAGAACAAACAUGAAAUGUAAUUCAUGUUGCUCCCGUGGAUACUGUUUUCAUUGUCAUAUCCAAUGGUAUGCUGGAUGGGAUACUGUUCAACUGGAAGUUUCACUAAACAGCUGUUGAACACUA